UUACGGCCACAUUACGUUGAAAGACCGGUCCCCGUACAAUCACCGAAGUUAAACAACGUCGAGUCUGGUCAGUACCUACAUGGGUGCACGCUUGGGAAUACCGGUUGCUGUAA
This is a non-coding RNA of Acanthosepion pharaonis, 113 nucleotides long. The record is from the annotation of a GenBank genome assembly. NCBI's taxonomy places the organism in Eukaryota, Metazoa, Mollusca, Cephalopoda, Sepiida, Sepiidae.